Oncorhynchus tshawytscha (Chinook salmon) is the source of this 2674-nucleotide long non-coding RNA. The record is from Ensembl. Lineage: Eukaryota; Metazoa; Chordata; Actinopteri; Salmoniformes; Salmonidae.
AGCGAGUGAAACAGAGACAGAGAAAGGCGAUCAUUUGGUAGUAGUUCUAGAUACUGAUUGGCUCUUGCGGUACAUGUGACAACUGUCCUCAUCUGCAUAUGGACAGGUACGCUAUGGUGAGCGGGGUAGAGAAGUUACCGGGCUGGCACCGUGUGAAUGGAGUUAAAGAUCGUCGAGAAGUCUCCUAAGUAGCCCUAGGACAUCGUUAGUCUACAGCAAGAGGACUACUGUUUCAUACCGCCCCUUGACUUCGGAAAAUAGCUCAUUGUAAUCAACAGGACUAAAUGGUCUUCACACAGUUCGCAACGAGCCAGGCGGCCCAAACUGCUGCAUAUACCCUGACUGCCUACACAGAACGCAGGAUAAGUGACACAAUUUCCCUAGUUAAAAUAAAUUAAUGUUAGCAGGCAAUAUUAACUAAAUAUGCAGGUUUAAAAAUAUAUACUUGUGUAUUGAUUUUAAGAAAGGCAUUGAUGUUUAUUGUUAGGUAUAUUUAGGUAUACUUUUUUUCGCAAAUGCUCUUGUUAAUAAAUUAUCACCCGUUUGGUGAAGUAGGCUGUGAUUCGAUGAUAAAUGAACAGGCACCACAUUGAUUAUAUGCAACGCAGGACAAGCUAGAUAAACUAGUAAUAUCAUCAACCAUGUGUAGUUAACUAGUGAUUUAUGUUAACAUUACCUUGGCUCCUAGCUGCCCUCGCGUAACAGGUGGUCAGCCUGCCAUGCAGCCUCCUCGUGGAGAGCAAUGUAAUGGGUGUCUAAAAAUGUUGAUUACAGCCCUAAUUAAUGGGCCGACCUCUAGUCUCUGGACCCAGUUUAGAGACACUGUUUCAGACUGUAUCUGGACCUGGUUUAGAGACACUGUUUUAGACUGUAUCUGGACCAGGUUUAGAGACACUGUUUUAGACUGUACCUGGUUUAGAGACACUUUCUGGACCUGGUUUAGAGACACUGUUUUAGACUGUCUCUGGACCUGGUUUAGAGACACUGUUUCAGACUGUAUCUGGACCUGGUUUAGAGACACUGUUUUAGACUGUAUCUGGACCAGGUUUAGAGACACUGUUUUAGACUGUAUCUGGACCAGGUUUAGAGACACUGUUUUAGACUGUAUCUGGACCCGGUUUAGAGACGUUGUUUCAGACUGUAUCUGGACCCGGUUUAGAGACGUUGUUUCAGACUGUCUCUGGACACUUUUGACAUUGCAGCCGACUGUCGAGACUGACCAAUCUACAAAUCACCUUGGAUCACAAAUAACUACUCAAUAUUAUUUGUAGAUCAGUCAGUCGGUCAGAAUUGACCCAUGAUACAUUGCGGUUUGGAUCGAACACAGCCAUAGUUUCUAUGCUGAUGUGUUCCGUAGACUUGGACAGACACACUGCCUCAAAGGGGCUGAAUUCACCGGCCUGGCUCAUGGCUGCUCUCCUACACUCUCUCUCUAGAGACAGGCACCCCUCACUGGCAGUCUGGCUGCUGUGUCCCCAUUGGUCCAGAUGUGAGAGCAGAGACCAGCAGUGUCUCCUCUAACCCUCAGGGCCCGUCGUCAUGGAAAUGGUGUUGUCGUUACCAAGGCCGUCGUGGGGGUUGUGGUCUGUGUUAGUCCCAGGCCUGGCCCUACUGCUGUGCCUGGCCCUGGUCCUGAUGGGCUGUGUGAUCAGGAAGAAGAGAAGGAUGGAGGGAAUGUAUCGGCCCAGUGCGGAGGAGAGCAAACAGACCGGACCACGGGGGGCUGAGAGACCAGGCCUGCCCCUGCCCAAGGAGGAGAGACUCAUCUGAUACAUGCACUUUAGCCUGGACGCUACACACACUCUCUUUUCCUUCUCUCUCUCUCUCACUACCAUUGCCUCACUGUCCUCUACCCUGUACAUGAAGCCAGAACGGGUUAUUAGUGGUUAUGUGUUGUGUAAAGUUAUCUGUGGAUGGAGUGUCUUGUUAAAUAUGCCUGAACAUGCCUGGUGGAUGUGCCAUGUUCUCUCCAGUUUCUCCAACUGUGCUGAUGUUGACAUCAGUGUGUCAACAGGUGAAUGCUGAAUGCCCUGUCAGGGGUGUGUUGUUCACCUGUAGGUGGACUAGUUGUUGACAUGAUUACCUGUAGGUGGACUAGUUGUUGAUCAUACAGAGAAAAGGGAAUUUUAAAAGUUCCUCUAUAUGCAAAAUGUCUCUUUAUUAUGGCAGUUAUACUGUUACAUGUGAACCAACUAUGAUUUAGGUGUAUCCCGUGUAUAAAGCAUUAGUGUGUGUGUGUGUGUGUGUGUGUUUUAUAUCUUGAAAAUGAAGAGAAGAAUGGUAAGACACUAUGAAUGAUUUCUAAUGCACUUCUGAUGAUAUUAACCAUGUGAAAACAAUAAAACUCCUCUCAAAAAGUAUAAAACGUCCAUUUAUUCAGUGCAUUGAGUUAAUCUGUUCAUGUUCCACAAGCUCCACCUGCUGGUCAUCUAAGGACAAUACAACCAGCGACAUCAGUCAGAGGGAUUGGACAGAACUGGUUCCUGAAUGUCAUGUGACAUGAUCAGUGGGUUAUUCAACUGUGGUGUGAAGUACUUAAGUAAAAAUACGUUCAAGUACUACUUAAGGUUUUUUUUUUUUUUGGUAUCAAAACAUUACUUUACUAUUUUUGACAACUUUUACUUCACUACAUUCUUUAUGAAAAUAAUGUACUUUUUACUCCAUACAUUUUCCC